UGGAUCCCAUGUGACCAGGAGUCGACGUGUGCAGAAGUCCUGCUAGUCUGGUCCUUGUUCCUGUCUGGGUACCAGUUUCCUUUAGCCCUGCAAGCGGAGGAGCAGGAGGCCAGCGGGUGGAACCAGCUCGCGGGAAUUUUGCAGGUCUGUUCUAGCACUGCCCAAGGCUAAAAAAGUAAGAGGCAGAAACUGACUGGAUCAAUACGAAGUAGUUGCUUUAAAAGAGGAAUAGGCAGGAAGAAGGAAAGAAGA
Molecule: long non-coding RNA, 252 nt
Filed under: Castor canadensis (American beaver)
Lineage: Eukaryota; Metazoa; Chordata; Mammalia; Rodentia; Castoridae
Description: lncRNA (ENSCCNG00000007385.1)
Source: RNAcentral